Molecule: transfer RNA, 87 nt
Filed under: Pseudomonadota bacterium
Lineage: Bacteria; Pseudomonadati; Pseudomonadota
Also listed under: 2 other names
Description: tRNA-Ser
Rfam family: tRNA
About the family: Transfer RNA (tRNA) molecules are approximately 80 nucleotides in length. Their secondary structure includes four short double-helical elements and three loops (D, anti-codon, and T loops). Further hydrogen bonds mediate the characteristic L-shaped molecular structure. tRNAs have two regions of fundamental functional importance: the anti-codon, which is responsible for specific mRNA codon recognition, and the 3' end, to which the tRNAs corresponding amino acid is attached (by aminoacyl-tRNA synthetases). tRNAs cope with the degeneracy of the genetic code in two manners: having more than one tRNA (with a specific anti-codon) for a particular amino acid; and 'wobble' base-pairing, i.e. permitting non-standard base-pairing at the 3rd anti-codon position.
Source: RNAcentral
GGAGGGGUGCGAGAACGGCUAAUCGGGCGGUCUUGAAAACCGCUGGCUUUUACAGCCUUGUGGGUUCGAAUCCCACCCCCUCCGCCA